Molecule: ribosomal RNA, 497 nt
Filed under: uncultured bacterium
Lineage: Bacteria
Description: partial 16S ribosomal RNA
Rfam family: Bacterial small subunit ribosomal RNA
Source: RNAcentral
GAUGAACGCUGGCGGCGUGCCUAAUACAUGCGAGUCGAGCGAACGGACGAGAAGCUUGCUUCUCUGAUGUUAGCGGCGGACGGGUGAGUAACACGUGGAUAACCUACCUAUAAGACUGGGAUAACUUCGGGAAACCGGAGCUAAUACCGGAUAAUAUUUUGAACCGCAUGGUUCAAAAGUAAAAGACGGUCUUGCUGUCACUUAUAGAUGGAUCCGCGCUGCAUUAGCUAGUUGGUAAGGUAACGGCUUACCAAGGCAACGAUGCAUAGCCGACCUGAGAGGGUGAUCGGCCACACUGGAACUGAGACACGGUCCAGACUCCUACGGGAGGCAGCAGUAGGGAAUCUUCCGCAAUGGGCGAAAGCCUGACGGAGCAACGCCGCGUGAGUGAUGAAGGUCUUCGGAUCGUAAAACUCUGUUAUUAGGGAAGAACAUAUGUGUAAGUAACUGUGCACAUCUUGACGGUACCUAAUCAGAAAGCCACGGCUAACUACGUG